Molecule: long non-coding RNA, 396 nt
Organism: Schistocerca gregaria
Lineage: Eukaryota; Metazoa; Arthropoda; Insecta; Orthoptera; Acrididae
Exons: 2
Source: RefSeq, a predicted model, not a curated record
CUAUAGGAGCAGUAUUUGCAAUAAUAGGAGGUGUCAUUCAAUGAUAUCCACUAUUUACAGGAUUAACUAUAAAUAAUACAUGAUUAAAAAUCCAAUUUACAAUUAUAUUCAUUGGAGUAAAUUUAACAUUCUUUCCUCAACACUUCCUAGGAUUAGCAGGAAUACCUCGACGAUACUCUGACUACCCAGACGCAUAUACAUCAUGAAACGUAGUAUCAAGAAUUGGGUCUACAAUUUCUAUUGUAGGAAUCAUUAUAUUCAUUGUAAUUAUAUGAGAAAGAAUGAUUACAAACCGAGCAAUUAUAUUUAGAGCUAACAUAAGAAGAUCAACACAAUGACUACAAAAUAACCCUCCUGCAGAACAUAGUUACUCAGAAUUGCCAUUAAUCUCUAGAU